This 316-nucleotide small nuclear RNA is filed under the name Erinaceus europaeus (western European hedgehog). RNAcentral describes it as "7SK RNA". It matches the Rfam family "7SK RNA". From Rfam's summary of the family: 7SK was discovered as an abundant small nuclear RNA in the mid-70s but a possible function has only recently been suggested. The record is from Rfam by way of RNAcentral. Lineage: Eukaryota; Metazoa; Chordata; Mammalia; Eulipotyphla; Erinaceidae.
AGAUGUAAGGGUGAUCUGGUUUUAACAUCUCUCACCCCACUCAUCACCAGGGUGGAUUCGGUUCAUCUGGCUGGAUAGGCAGAUGUCUCCUUCCUCCCUCACUGCUCCAUGUGCGUCCCUUCAGAAGCUGCUCGGUCAGAGAAGACGAAAAUGAGCCGACACAAACCCUAGAAUAUUUUAUCUGUCCACCCUAGUCACUCUUUAAGACAAAUAAGAUUAUUUUAUCAAUAGUUAAAGGGUCCUUUGAAGGAAGUGCCAAACUUCUAUAACAACUGCAAUCAUAAAGCUAAUCACAAAAGCUAUUAUUAUUAUUUUU